GAGUUUGAUCAUGGCUCAGAUUGAACGCUGGCGGUAUGCUUAACACAUGCAAGUCGAACGGUAACAGGCCUUCGGGCGCUGACGAGUGGCGGACGGGUGAGUAACGCGUAGGAAUCUGCCUCAUAGUGGGGGACAACGUGGGGAAACUCACGCUAAUACCGCAUACGCCCUACGGGGGAAAGCGGGGGAUCUUCGGACCUCGCGCUAUGAGAUGAGCCUGCGUUAGAUUAGCUAGUUGGUAGGGUAAAGGCCUACCAAGGCGACGAUCUAUAGCUGGUCUGAGAGGACGAUCAGCCACACUGGGACUGAGACACGGCCCAGACUCCUACGGGAGGCAGCAGUGGGGAAUAUUGGACAAUGGGCGCAAGCCUGAUCCAGCAAUACCGCGUGUGUGAAGAAGGCCUUAGGGUUGUAAAGCACUUUCAAUUGGGAGGAAAACCUGCCGGUCAAUACCCGGUAGCUUGACAUUACCUUUAGAAGAAGCACCGGCUAACUCCGUG
This 500-nucleotide ribosomal RNA is filed under the name uncultured bacterium. RNAcentral describes it as "bacterial SSU rRNA". It matches the Rfam family "Bacterial small subunit ribosomal RNA", at positions 9 to 507 of the family's 1533-position model. The record is from RNAcentral.